Molecule: ribosomal RNA, 778 nt
Filed under: uncultured bacterium
Lineage: Bacteria
Description: bacterial SSU rRNA
Rfam family: Bacterial small subunit ribosomal RNA
Source: RNAcentral
AGAGUUUGAUCAUGGCUCAGGACGAACGCUGGCGGCGCGCUUAAAACAUGCAAGUCGAACGAGAACCAGAAGGUGCUUGCACCAUCUGGGGAAAGUGGCGAACGGGUGAGUAACGCGUGAGAAACCUGCCCCGAAGUUUGGGAUAACCCGAGGAAACUUGGACUAAUACCGAAUAUCUUCUUUUAUACAUAUGUAUUUACGAAGAAAGCUCCGGCGCUUUGGGAUGGUCUCGCGGCCUAUCAGCUUGUUGGUGAGGUAAAAGCUCACCAAGGCAUCGACGGGUAGCUGGUCUGAGAGGAUGUCCAGCCACACUGGGACUGAGAUACGGCCCAGACUCCUACGGGAGGCAGCAGUUAGGAAUCUUGCACAAUGGGGGAAACCCUGAUGCAGCGACGCCGCGUGCGGGACGAAGGCCCUAGGGUUGUAAACCGCUUUCAGUAGGGACGAAAGUGACGGUACCUACAGAAGAAGCCCCGGCCAACUAUGUGCCAGCAGCCGCGGUGAUACAUAGGGGGCAAGCGUUGUCCGGAUUUACUGGGCGUAAAGAGCUCGUAGGCGGUUUAUCAAGUCGGAAGUGAAAUCUCCAGGCUCAACCUGGAGCGGCCUUUCGAAACUGAUAUGACUUGAGUAUGGUAGAGGAGUGUGGAAUUCCCAGUGUAGCGGUGAAAUGCGCAGAUAUUGGGAGGAACACCUAUGGCGAAGGCAGCACUCUGGGCCAAAACUGACGCUGAGGAGCGAAAGCGUGGGGAGCGAACAGGAUUAGAUACCCUAGUAGUCC